Capsicum annuum is the source of this 1635-nucleotide RNA transcript. It is a transcript of the gene named cytochrome b-c1 complex subunit 7-like, with no coding region annotated. Lineage: Eukaryota; Viridiplantae; Streptophyta; Magnoliopsida; Solanales; Solanaceae. The transcript has 3 exons. The record is from RefSeq and is a predicted model, not a curated record.
UUUUCUAAAUUGGACAAGUAAAAGUUGACUUGGGGAGUAUAUUCUAGCAUUAGGGUCGUUUUUACUGAUGGACUUGUACUUCCCCAAAAUACAAAUGUUGGUAUACUUUCCUUGGAUUUACCCUUAAUACAUAUGUUUAUUGGCAUUUUAAAUUGUUCUGAUUUUUUUUUUGGUCCAGCUUGCUAAUUUCAUAUGCUGCACCUAUUUCUAUGAAAAAUUCUUUUUCAUUUGCAUAAAUGUAUAUUCUAGUAUUUGGGGUAUUAAUAUGUAUUGAUCUAUAUAUACUUUCUUGUAUAUAAAGUUUCAUGAGUGUACCUUUAAUCUCGUGUCUUAUCCGCAUAUCAUUAUUCCAAGUAUUUGAUUUCCACAUUCAAAUCUUAGCCCAGUAAUUUGAGUUGAGGGUGCAAACCCGAGAGAGUUUUUGUGUUGUUUCUUCUGCUAAAAGAAUCAUUUUACAGAGUCUCAUUCCAAAGAAUUUUGAUGCAUAGUUCAGUAGCUCAAAUAGAUGAAUAAAUAAAACAAAUAAAAACACGCAUACAAAAGAGAAGGACAUAGCAUUUUGUUAUAUCACUAUUUCAAUUAUUCUAUUGAGUUACAAUAUUUACUAUUCACCUAUGUUCUUAAGUUUUUGAUGUGUUUGUUAGCUUUUUAUUAUGCUUUUGUGAUACAAGGGCUUAGAUAUGAUGAUUUAUAUGAUCCAAUGUAUGAUUUGGACGUGAAGGAGGCUCUUAAUCGCCUUCCGAGGGAGAUUGUUGAUGCCAAAAACCAGUACCUUCUGUGUGCCAUGGACCUCUUCAUGAAGCACCCGUACCUCCCAGAGGAUCUCCAGAGUCUAUACAAUCAACGCUUAACAAAAGAAUUAUGGCAGCAGAGAACACGGAUUUUUAUCAGAAUUUGAAGUCUUGCAGUUUCAAGUAUAGGAGGGUUUCCAUGAAUGUUGUUGCAGGUUCACGUAAAGGUGAGGGGCAGAGUUGUUGGCAACAGAUCUAUACGGUCGGCUGUACUAUGGUUGUUGUGAUUACCUAUUGCUAUUCAUUGACUCCAUUGACUGCACUGAUGGAUGUCGUCCAAGUAAAAUGUAUUUCUUGAGGACGCUCAUUGAGAAAACCUUAAAAGAUCGAGAAGAUUUCCUCGUCGAACCCAAUUUUGUCUCUAAUCUUAUCCCGCCUGACGAGUAUGUUCAUCAAAGUUGCUAUUCUUUCUCAUUUAUUGGCACUACAAUACAUGAGACAUAUCAACCUCGGUGGGACUAUUUAGGAAGGUGAUAACUUAAAUCUUUUUUGGCAUUCAAAUUUUUUCUCUACACAUCUCGAGUAAAGUAAUAUACAUGAUUCAUUACGUAGAACAAAAUGAAUGCUUCAACUUUUGUAUUGAGAUUUAAAUAUUCAAUAGGGAUAAUCCCUAAUUAUUCAUAAAUGACCAGUUUUUGAUAUCUAUUAGAUCUAAAAACAUGUAUACUUCAGUAGUUUAAUUUGUGCUUCCGUUUCUCACAUUAUUUCAAUAGAUAUAUGCAUUUUAUCCUUCUAAUUUCGGUUGUAUGUGUAUGUAAAGAACAAAGAUAGAUAUAUGAUUUCACUUAGUUACAUACUACUACUCCAUCUAAACUAUAUAGCUUCUAUGUUUUAUUGAUUUUCA